Homarus americanus (American lobster) is the source of this 165-nucleotide long non-coding RNA. RefSeq lists it as uncharacterized. The record is from RefSeq and is a predicted model, not a curated record. The transcript is spliced from 3 exons. NCBI's taxonomy places the organism in Eukaryota, Metazoa, Arthropoda, Malacostraca, Decapoda, Nephropidae.
ACUACUGUACAUGUCUUGUUGUGGAAGGAGAGGAAGUGUGGGUAGCCCUGGGUGUAGGUGGAUGUGUACUGUGGGUAGUCCUGGGUGUAGGUGGACGUGUACUGUGGGUAGUCCUGGGUGUAGGUGGACGUGUGCUGUGGGUAGUCCUGGGUGUGGGUGGACGUG